UACGUAGGCAGCAAGCGUUGUUCGGAGUUACUGGGCGUAAAGGGUGCGUAGGCGGUCCCUUAAGUUCGGUGUGAAAUCUCCCGGCUCAACUGGGAGGGUGCGCCGGAAACUGAGGGACUCGAGUGCGGGAGGGGAGAGCGGAAUUCCUGGUGUAGCGGUGAAAUGCGUAGAUAUCAGGAGGAACACCGGUGGUGCAGACGGCUCUCUGGACCGUAACUGACGCUGAGGCACGAAAGCGUGGGUAGCAAACAGG
RNAcentral lists this ribosomal RNA (253 nucleotides) under uncultured Acidobacteriota bacterium. RNAcentral's name for it is "uncultured Acidobacteria bacterium partial 16S ribosomal RNA". It matches the Rfam family "Bacterial small subunit ribosomal RNA", at positions 524 to 776 of the family's 1533-position model. Lineage: Bacteria; Pseudomonadati; Acidobacteriota. The record is from RNAcentral.